AGUGAACGCUGGCGGUAGGCCUAACACAUGCCAGUCGAACGGCAGCACAGUAAGAGCUUGCUCUUACGGGUGGCGAGUGGCGGACGGGUGAGGAAUACAUCGGAAUCUACUUUUUCGUGGGGGAUAACGUAGGGAAACUUACGCUAAUACCGCAUACGACCUACGGGUGAAAGCAGGGGAUCUUCGGACCUUGCGCGAUUGAAUGAGCCGAUGUCGGAUUAGCUAGUUGGCGGGGUAAAGGCCCACCAAGGCGACGAUCCGUAGCUGGUCUGAGAGGAUGAUCAGCCACACUGGAACUGAGACACGGUCCAGACUCCUACGGGAGGCAGCAGUGGGGAAUAUUGUACAAUGGGCGCAAGCCUGAUCCAGCCAUACCGCGUGGGUGAAGAAGUCCUUCGGGUUGUAAAGCCCUUUUGUUGGGAAAGAAAAGCAGCAGGUUAAUACCCCGCUGUUCUGACGGUACCCAAAGAAUAAGCACCAGCUAACUUCGUG
This 492-nucleotide ribosomal RNA is filed under the name uncultured bacterium. Its description in RNAcentral is "partial 16S ribosomal RNA". It matches the Rfam family "Bacterial small subunit ribosomal RNA", at positions 29 to 507 of the family's 1533-position model. The record is from RNAcentral.